AAUUACGACCAAAAAAAAAGGCAAACUCUCUUUGACUAUUUAUUCCUUAAACUAAUAUAGACGAUAGAAUACCAAUGUAAGCAACAGAAUAGAUAGAAAAGUUUAGUGAAGAAAGAUUACAUGAGAUUCAGAUAGAUAAACAUGUAUACAUUCCUUACAAUUCAUUCAAUAAAUUCUUAAUUUCAUUAAAUGUGUCAUACAUAAUAAAGAUUUCCCAUUUACACUGUGAAACAAAUUAGAACAGUUAUCUUGUUUUGAGGUUUAAAAUGACUUUAAUUAAAAACUAACACUACGAAGAUUAAAGGGAGAGUCCCAAGACUCACUCAAAGGAGAAUUAUUAGUAUAUUCUCCAAAGUGUGGGUUUUACUUCCAGGGAAACAAAAUUUUUCCCCAGACACUUGUUUCUUAUCUAUUACCUUACCUAACAGAAUUUAAAGUGUUUAUUUAUAAUAAUAAUGUGGUAUCUUUAAUUUUGCAGGAACACAAUUCUGUGGAUUAGAGAAAAUGUUUUUGUUGGUACUUGAUUUGUUAAACACUUUUUUAUUUUCACAUAAGCCCUCAAAAUUUGGUAAUAAAUCUGCAUGCUAUAUUAACAGAACAUUUUAUUUUGUUAAUCACCAAACUACAACUACUUUUUCAAUUGCAAAAUUUAUAUAAAUCUUAUUUAUUAUAUUCAAAUUAAUAUAGUAUUAUUCAACUGAAAUGAGUGUUUGCGUUUCAUAGAAUAUACAAUGUAUAAAGUUUAAAUUGAAAGGUGUAUAAAAUAUUUACAUAUUUACAGAUGUAAAAUGGAUGAUCAUUAGUUUAUGCCAUGGACUACAGCAUAUGCCAUUAAACUGAUAUAUAUGGACUACAGUACAUGAAACAACAAUUUACUGUGGACUCAUUUAUUUUCUUGGGUAUCAAAUUUUCUUGGGUAUCAAUUUUCGUGGAUUGAGGAACACUUCUAUCUUCACGGAUAUUUGAUUUCGUGUUUUUUUCCACUCACUGCAUACAAAGCCUAUAGAAAAUUUGUAAUUUGUUUUGAUUAUUUGAAUUUGUGGUUCACCUGUAUCCAUGAAACCCACGAAAAAUGGUAGACAACUCAUAUUAAAGAAUCCACAGUAUAAAGAAACUAGAAUAUUAAAAUCCUCACAAAAAUAUUGUCAAUCUCAUUCAUACAAUUACUACAUUACAGACACUAGCAAACACAUAAUAAAAAUCUGGCAAUUAUGACUGAUAUCUACAGCAAUUAAAAAUUCUGAAUGCAUUAUGCUGCCUUUUAAAUAUGAACACAUUAUAAAAGAACUCAUAAAAUUUACUUUAUAAAGAAUAAAACUUUUUGUUGUAUAGCAACAUAUUAUUUCCAACAGAAUGUUAUAUAAAGUAAGUAAUCAAUAGUUUAUGAUACUGCACUGGUGCAAAUAUAACUUUAAACAUCAUCAGUGACAAAUACUUUUUUCAUCCAGUUUUCAAGUGUUGCUGUGCAAAAAAGGGUUAUUGCAUGAAUAUUAUACAUCAUACAUUAUAUUGUACUUGCAAGUUCAUGUAAUCUGAAAAAUUACAUAGGACAAUAGUUUCCAAUAGUCAUACAAUAAAUAUUAUAGGACCGUAUUUCUUAUAUAGAUUACUUGUAUUUAUUCCUACCCGAAUUAUCUUCAAGACACAAGUGUGCCAGUAUUGAAAAAAAAACAUGCACAAAUAACUGUAAAUUCCAUUUAAGUCCCAAUGGUGUUUCACAAUAGUUUAAACUUGAAUUUUAAAUUCUGAAAGCAUUAUUUGUAAGCAGUAUUUCCUGUAAUAUUUUUUCUCACAUUGUUGAUCAUUUUUUAGUGAUAAGUGCACUGAAACAUUUCUGAAUUUG
This 1843-nucleotide long non-coding RNA is filed under the name Mytilus galloprovincialis (Mediterranean mussel). Lineage: Eukaryota; Metazoa; Mollusca; Bivalvia; Mytilida; Mytilidae. The record is from RNAcentral.